Pelobates cultripes (western spadefoot toad) is the source of this 203-nucleotide non-coding RNA. The record is from the annotation of a GenBank genome assembly. NCBI's taxonomy places the organism in Eukaryota, Metazoa, Chordata, Amphibia, Anura, Pelobatidae.
GGGAGGCAAUGCACAUGAGUGGCAAUUGCCACUCUGUGCUGACAAUGUUUAUCUAUGAGAAGCCUCACAUACACAUUGAGUGAGUGCUCAGUCUGUGAGAAAGAUCACCAUCCUAGCUUAAAGGGAAACUAUAGUGCCAGGAAAAGAAACUUGUUUUCCUGGCACUAUAGCUUCCUCUCUGUCAAGGACCCCUCCGACAGUGC